This 235-nucleotide ribosomal RNA is filed under the name uncultured bacterium. RNAcentral describes it as "partial 16S ribosomal RNA". It matches the Rfam family "Bacterial small subunit ribosomal RNA", at positions 15 to 229 of the family's 1533-position model. The record is from RNAcentral.
GAUCAUGGCUCAGGACGAACGCUGGCGGCGUGCUUAACACAUGCAAGUCGAACGGAGCGAAUGAAAGCUUGCUUUUAUGAGCUUAGUGGCAAACGGGUGAGUAACACGUAGGCAACCUGCCGACAGGAUGGGGACAACAUUCCGAAAGGAAUGCUAAUACCGAAUGAAGUCGAGGGAGGGCAUCCUCCUUCGAUGAAAGAUGGCCUCUAUUUAUAAGCUAUCACCUGUCGAUGGG